This is a long non-coding RNA of Corvus hawaiiensis (hawaiian crow), 1340 nucleotides long. RefSeq lists it as uncharacterized. The transcript is spliced from 4 exons. The record is from RefSeq and is a predicted model, not a curated record. NCBI's taxonomy places the organism in Eukaryota, Metazoa, Chordata, Aves, Passeriformes, Corvidae.
AUUUCCUUUGGUUGGAAGGAGGGUCUUCGAGUUGCUUAAACAAACCGCAAAGGCACCGCAGCGCAGCUUUCCUUUUGGCCAGUUUGGGCACUCCUCUCCCUUCGUAGCGGCCCAAAGGAACGCACUUUCCCCACACCCCACAGACCGUGGUGGCAGCAGGGUACCCCCAGCCCCGUCCCGCUUUGCCGCCCCGGUGGAAGCGAUUUCCAGCCUAUCUACGGAAGAAAAAGGGGAGAAAAGUGUGUGUCUCUUUCUGGAAACUGCCUCCCAAUUCUGCUCGGACACGUUGCUUUUGCUAUGCUAAGAGAAGGCAUUUAAUGGUGUCAAUAUCCAACCCACCCCCCUCGGCAAAGUUGAAGGCAAGGCUCUCGGUGCUAAUCCUAGGCUUUCCACCCGGGCAGUGAAACUCAGAACGGGCAAUGAACUCCCCGUCUCCCAGAGGGACGACCUCGUCAGCAAAUGGCCAGACACGGCGGGGGCGAAAGGCUCCCACCCCCCGCUCCCCGCGAGGAGGGGACGAGCGCCGGCGGCCGGGGUCUGGCGUGGAGCGGGGUCGGAAGAAGGGAAGAGGGGGGCUGGAGGGCACAGAUGAGGAUGAUAGCCCGACCCCCCGGCUGAAAAAUACAGGCAGGAAAAAGGGAUAUGUGAAAAAGUAGGACUGGAGGAGAGAGAGAAAAAAUGAAGCUCAGUCAUCCAGAAUAACGGUGUCCUUCACUCCGCUUUCAGUCUGCCCUUUUGAAUUUGCAGCUACCAUGUUUGAUUACAAAAAGUUAUCUUCAGAUCAUCUGCGUGAGAAAAGAGACAGAAUUUUCCCAGUGGAGUUUUAUUGCUUGCACAAGUGAAAGGAAGAGGCAACUAGAUGUGUGGAAGUGGUGAGUUAUUUCACAUAUUCUGACAUAAUCCAAGAAAACAACAGAUGGCAAUUUCAUCCAAGUGAGUGUUAUCCACUAGGACUGCAGAAGAGGAGCUUGUUUUCCUGUAACUUCCUGCCUUUCAGGUUAAAAGUUACAGAACCUACUGCAGUGCUCUAAUGUGAGUCUCAAAUGCAGGUUAGGGUUGGAUUGUCUUAGCCAGAGAAAAGUCUGCUGUUUUCAGUAAGAUGAGAUGGAGCCCUGCCCUCGAACAAAAUUUGGAAUCCAACCUCACUGACUAGACUUGGAUGUGGAAUUUCUAGUGUGCAAUGCAUGAGUAGUGAUAAUGCAGUCCAGCAGAAGAAAUGGAGGUAGUAUAAAGAAAAGUAGAAGAAUGUUAAGAAGUUGUGUGGUUAUGUGGGAAACAAAAAACAGUUGGCAGAUUAAAGGGCUUGGAAGAGAAGCAGUAAAAGGAGGAAGGGAAGAGAG